AGGGACUAUCGGGGAUGACUAGCCAAUACAUCCAAAGGAGGUAGUUAUACCAAAAAUCGUAAUGAAUGAUUUGAUAAUUACGAUAAUCCUAAGGGAAACCAAUCCAAUAAUAACUCUACGAACUGAAACAUCUAAGUAGUAGAAGGAAAAGAAAUCAACCGAGAUCCCGUUAGUAGUGGUGAGCGAAAGCGGGUUAGCCUAUUUUUUAGUGAGUUUCUGGGGCGAAAGUCCCCAGAAACUCGAAAAUUUAAUUCGAAUUUGUUUGGAAUGACAAACCAUAGAGGGUGAAAGUCCCGUGAUAAAAAAAAUUAGUCCCGCAUAAUGCGGGCUUACUAAAAAUAGUAAGUAAGAUGAGAGAUAACUUGUCUGAAUAUAGGGGAACCAUCCUCUAAGGCUAAAUAUGAUGUAUUGAGCGAUAGUGAAGAGUACCGUGAGGGAACGUUGAAAAGAAAGUAGAUAACUGGUGAAAAGAUCCUGAACCGGUAGUUCUAUAAGCAGCAGGAAUCUUAGUUUAAAUACAAGAUGACUGCGUACCUUUUGCAUAAUGGGUCAGCGAGUUAAUCUGUGGUGCAAGUAGAAAUACUUAGCGAAAGCGACUACGUUAAAUGGGUAAGUACCAUGGAUUAGACCCGAAACCAGGUGAUCUUAUCAUGACCAGGUCAUUAAGGACCGAACCAGUGUUUGUGGCAAUAAACUUGGAUGAGUUGUGAUAAGCAGAGAAAGUCAAAUCUGACCUGGAGAUAGCUGGUAUUCCGCGAAACAUAUUUUGGUAUGUUGUCCUUCGUAUCUGUAAACUGGUACAGCACUGGAUACUAUGUCCCUUGUGGACUUGAUUGGGGGGUCGUGAUGGCUCUAUCAAUAGAAUCGGUUGUAAAACCGAUUCCCGAAUUUUUUUGUUUGGGAAUCUAACCUCAGAAUGGUUUAUAGUUAAUAAAGGACGGUCAGACUAUAGGUGCUAAGGUCUUUAGUCGAGAGGGAAACAGCCCAGAACAAAAAUUAAGGUCCCUAAAUACUACUAAGUGAAAUUAAGGUAGUCCAUAAAAUUACACAACCAUUCGGUGGGCUUGGAAGCAGCCAUCCGUUAAUGAAAGCGUAAUAGCUCAAUGGUCUGUAAUAAUAAGUUUUAAGGGCACCGACAAUGUAUCGGGUCUAAGUAGUAUACCGAGAUUUUGUCCCAAUGGAAUUAAUGACAUUGGAGGGUAGCGGAACACUCAGGACAUGGUUGAAGGAUAGGGUUUCCUUAUCUGGACAUAACUGAGGAGAGAAUGCUGACAUGAGUAACGUAAAAGUGGGUAAGAUCCCACUCGCCGAAAGCAGAAGGGUUUCAUGGCUGGGCUCAACCUCCAUGAGUAAAGUAACGGCCUCUAAGGUUUUUUAACAAUCGGUCACGGACCCACUAUUACCGGGAAUCGGUGUGGUGUUCAUACUCCGUGACUUUUUUAAGAUUGGAACCCCGAUAGGGGUAACUGAUGAGAAAAACUGAUUUAAAUAACAAUUCGGGAAUCCAUACAUAUCGGUAACGGUAUAGUUGUAAUUCCCGAAUUCAGGAAAUGAUUUACCCCGCGCGGCGGCACCAUUUAGGUGUCAUUCCGCGCGGGGCUGAUAUUUAACCGUACCCUAAACCGACACUGGUCUGCUGGUAGAAUAUACCAAGGCGUUGAGCGAAUCAUCUUGAAGGAACUCGGCAAAAUGACCCCGUAACUUCGGGAGAAGGGGUACGACUUUUAUGGUCGUGGCACAGAAUAGAAGAGUACGACUGUUUACUUAAAACACAGGUCUUUGCUAAUAGGAAACUAGAUGUAUAAAGACUGAUACCUGCUCAGUGCUGGUAAGUCAAGAGAGGUACUAAUACGGUACUGAUUGAACCUCCAGUAAACAGCGGUUGUAACUAUAACGAUCCUCAGGUAGCGAAAUACCUUGGCCACUAAUUAUGGUCGUGCAUGAAUGGUUUAACGAUACUCUUACUGUCUCCAAGAUGAGCUCAGUGAAAUUGAAUUAUCCGUGCAGAUGCGGAUUACCAUUAGCUAGACGGGAAGACCCUAUGCAGCUUUACUGUAGUUAGUCAUUGUGUGCUUAUAAUUAAGGUGUAGAAUACAAGGGAGUCGAUUAGACAUCAGUGAAAUACCUUGACUUAAUUAGGAGCAUGCUAAACGGAAUUUUCCGGACAGUGAUUAAUGGGCAGUUUAUCUGGGGCGGAUUUCUCCCAUAUAGUACCGGAGAAGUACAAAGGUCGGCUUAAAUCCGAUGGAAACGGAUGGGCUAAAGAGAGCCUAAUUAAGUGUAAUGGCAUAAGCCGGCUUAACUGUAAGACCCACAAGUCAUACAGAUACGCAAGUAGGUCAUAGUGAUCCGGUGGUUCAUUAUGGAAUGGCCAUCGCUCAACGAAUAAAAGCUACGCUAGGGAUAACAGGCUGAUCAAUCCCGAGAGUCCAUAUUGACGGAUUGGUUUGGCACCUCGAUGUCGACUCAUCACAUCCUGGGGGUGUAGGCGCUCCCAAGGGUUCGGCUGUUCGCCGAGUAAAGUGGUACGUGAGUUGGGUUAAGUACGUCGUGAGACAGUACGGUUCCUAUCUACUAAUGGAAUUAGAAUCAAACAAGAACCUGCCCCUUGUACGAGAGGAUCGGGGUGGACUAAUCUCUGGUAUACCAGUUAUUGUUUCUUUCCCUUUUGGGAUAAGUACAGUACGGCUGGAAAGCUACAUUAGGAAAGGAUAACCGCUGAUAGCGUCUUAAGCGGGAAGCCUGUCUUGACAUGAUUCUUUAAUAGAGUGACUGUAGAUCACAGUCUUAAUAGGUUGCAGGUGUAAGCGGAGUAAUCCGUUAAGCUGGGCAAUACUAAAUUCUUAAGUAACUUGG
This 2856-nucleotide ribosomal RNA is filed under the name Apophysomyces trapeziformis B9324. RNAcentral's name for it is "bacterial LSU rRNA". It matches the Rfam family "Bacterial large subunit ribosomal RNA". Lineage: Eukaryota; Fungi; Mucoromycota; Mucoromycetes; Mucorales; Mucoraceae. The record is from RNAcentral.